RNAcentral lists this transfer RNA (75 nucleotides) under Caudoviricetes sp. RNAcentral describes it as "tRNA-Gly". It matches the Rfam family "tRNA". From Rfam's summary of the family: Transfer RNA (tRNA) molecules are approximately 80 nucleotides in length. Their secondary structure includes four short double-helical elements and three loops (D, anti-codon, and T loops). The record is from RNAcentral. Lineage: Duplodnaviria; Heunggongvirae; Uroviricota; Caudoviricetes.
GCAGGUGUAACACAAUGGUUAGUGUAUCAGCCCUCCAAGCUGAGAACAUGGGUUCAAUUCCCAUCACUUGCUCCA